Molecule: non-coding RNA, 250 nt
Organism: Pelobates cultripes (western spadefoot toad)
Lineage: Eukaryota; Metazoa; Chordata; Amphibia; Anura; Pelobatidae
Source: the annotation of a GenBank genome assembly
CUGAGUGUCACUGUGUGUGUCUCUCUGUGUGUCACUGUCUGUGUCUCUGUAUGUCACUGUCUGUGUGUCACUGUCUGUGUGUCUCUGUGUGUCUCUCUGUGUGUCUCUCUGUGUGUCACUGUCUGUGUGUCUCUCUGUCUGUGUGUCACUGUCUGUGUCACUGUCUGUGUGUCUCUCUGUAUGUCACUGUCUGUGUGUCACUGUCUGUGUGUCACUCUGUGUGUCUCUCUGUGUGUCACUGUCUGUGUGU